Molecule: ribosomal RNA, 310 nt
Filed under: uncultured bacterium
Lineage: Bacteria
Description: partial 16S ribosomal RNA
Rfam family: Bacterial small subunit ribosomal RNA
Source: RNAcentral
AAGAGACAGCAGCAGCCGCGGGAAAACGGAGGGUGCAAGCGUUAAUCGGAAUUACUGGGCGUAAAGCGCACGCAGGCGGUCUGACAAGUCAGAUGUGAAAUCCCCGGGCUUAACCUGGGAACUGCAUUUGAAACUGUCAGGCUGGAGUCUUGUAGAGGGGGGUGGAAUUCCAGGUGUAGCGGUGAAAUGCGUAGAGAUCUGGAGGAAUACCGGUGGCGAAGGCGGCCCCCUGGACAAAGACUGACGCUCAGGUGCGAAAGCGUGGGGAGCAAACAGGAUUAGAUACCCCUGUAGUCCCUGUCUCUUAUAC